GGGGCUAUAGCUCAGUUGGUUAGAGUGCUUCGUUGACAUCGAAGAGGUCGGCAGUUCGAAUCUGUUUAGCCCCACCA
Molecule: transfer RNA, 77 nt
Filed under: Negativicutes bacterium
Lineage: Bacteria; Bacillati; Bacillota; Negativicutes
Description: tRNA-Val
Rfam family: tRNA
About the family: Transfer RNA (tRNA) molecules are approximately 80 nucleotides in length. Their secondary structure includes four short double-helical elements and three loops (D, anti-codon, and T loops). Further hydrogen bonds mediate the characteristic L-shaped molecular structure. tRNAs have two regions of fundamental functional importance: the anti-codon, which is responsible for specific mRNA codon recognition, and the 3' end, to which the tRNAs corresponding amino acid is attached (by aminoacyl-tRNA synthetases). tRNAs cope with the degeneracy of the genetic code in two manners: having more than one tRNA (with a specific anti-codon) for a particular amino acid; and 'wobble' base-pairing, i.e. permitting non-standard base-pairing at the 3rd anti-codon position.
Source: RNAcentral